Molecule: long non-coding RNA, 204 nt
Organism: Polistes dominula (European paper wasp)
Lineage: Eukaryota; Metazoa; Arthropoda; Insecta; Hymenoptera; Vespidae
Source: RefSeq, a predicted model, not a curated record
UCAGCAGUAGCAGCAGCAAUAGUAGUAGUAGUAGUAACGGCAAUAACGUUAUCUGAAAGAAAAAGAAAAUUAGAAGAGGUGGAUCAAAGAAAAGGUAGAAUAGUUGCGACUUCGGAGGCCUUGCUCCGAUCUCCUAAGCAUCGAACAACCAAGCACAAGAAGCAAGUAGCGAACGAACGAACGUACGAAGGAAGGAAGGAACGA